This 490-nucleotide ribosomal RNA is filed under the name uncultured bacterium. RNAcentral's name for it is "partial 16S ribosomal RNA". It matches the Rfam family "Bacterial small subunit ribosomal RNA", at positions 30 to 507 of the family's 1533-position model. The record is from RNAcentral.
AUUGAACGCUGGCGGCAGGCCUUACACAUGCAAGUCGAACGGUAACAGGAAACAGCUUGCUGUUUCGCUGACGAGUGGCGGACGGGUGAGUAAUGUCUGGGAAACUGCCUGAUGGAGGGGGAUAACUACUGGAAACGGUAGCUAAUACCGCAUAACGUCGCAAGACCAAAGAGGGGGACCUUCGGGCCUCUUGCCAUCGGAUGUGCCCAGAUGGGAUUAGCUAGUAGGUGGGGUAAAGGCUCACCUAGGCGACGAUCCCUAGCUGGUCUGAGAGGAUGACCAGCCACACUGGAACUGAGACACGGUCCAGACUCCUACGGGAGGCAGCAGUGGGGAAUAUUGCACAAUGGGCGCAAGCCUGAUGCAGCCAUGCCGCGUGUAUGAAGAAGGCCUUCGGGUUGUAAAGUACUUUCAGCGGGGAGGAAGGGAGUAAAGUUAAUACCUUUGCUCAUUGACGUUACCCGCAGAAGAAGCACCGGCUAACUCCGUG